Molecule: ribosomal RNA, 652 nt
Filed under: Xylodon flaviporus
Lineage: Eukaryota; Fungi; Basidiomycota; Agaricomycetes; Hymenochaetales; Schizoporaceae
Description: eukaryotic LSU rRNA
Rfam family: 5.8S ribosomal RNA (bases 246-399)
Source: RNAcentral
GGUAAGGGUACUGCGGAGGUCAUUACUGAGUUUUGAAGUGGGCUUGAUGCUGGCAUCUUUUUGAUGCAUGUGCUCAGCCCCGCUCUCAAAUCCACUCAACACCUGUGCACUUUCAAAGUUGUAGUCCUCCGUAAUGGGAGUCGCAAGUCUUUUUUGACUUGCUGGGACUGCGCUUUGCCAUUUAUCACAAACGAUAUUCAUUGUUUUGUAGAAUGUCUAGCCUCAUUGUAGGUGAAACUUAAUACAACUUUCAACAACGGAUCUCUUGGCUCUCGCAUCGAUGAAGAACGCAGCGAAAUGCGAUAAGUAAUGUGAAUUGCAGAAUUCAGUGAAUCAUCGAAUCUUUGAACGCACCUUGCGCUCCUUGGUAUUCCGAGGAGCAUGCCUGUUUGAGUGUCGUGAAAUUAUCAACUCCUAUUCUUUAUUGAAUGGUGAGCUUGGAUUUGGAGAUUGCUGGUGAAAAUCGGCUUCUCUUGAAUGAAUUAGCUGGAAUUUGAUUCGCAGCAUAUAUGCGGUGUGAUAAUGUCGUCACUGUGUAGCUCGGAUUGUCUGGCUUCUAAUCGUCUUUCAUGGACAAUUUGAUCAUUUUGACCUCAAAUCAGGUAGGACUACCCGCUGAACUUAAGCAUUCUAAAAACGGGAAAAAAACCCC